This is a long non-coding RNA of Lotus japonicus, 888 nucleotides long. RefSeq lists it as uncharacterized. The transcript has 2 exons. The record is from RefSeq and is a predicted model, not a curated record. Lineage: Eukaryota; Viridiplantae; Streptophyta; Magnoliopsida; Fabales; Fabaceae.
UUAUGAGAAGUAAUUAAUGAAGUAGUAGGUGGCGCUGCAGAAUUCCGUGCAUAUAUCAUGGUAUACAUUUUCUCCAUUAUUGCGGCUUCCUCCUCCACUUAUAGCAACAAUUAAUUUUGACAUUUAAAUACAUAAAAAAAAGUCAAUCAAUAACCUCCUACCCCGUAUGAACGGAUCACGAUGAUUUUCCUCUUUGUUUCCUUUCCCUUCAAAUCCACUAUAUAAUGAACCUAUUCGCUCAAAAUAUCUAUGUAUUAGAUGUUUGUUGCUAAGUUCAUUCAACCACUAAUCUUUCUUCAAUUAUUCUAGCUAGCAACACUCAAAUUGUCCUGCAAUUUUUGUCAUACAUAUACAAGCCAUUGGAAUUAUAAGGAUUCUUCACAAGACUAGAGAUGAGUGAAAGAGCAGGGUUGGAAUUUGAGCUGAGCUUGUCGCCGCCACUGCAGGCUGCAAAUUCUUCAUCGGAGGGUUCAUGUGUGUCUAAUUCUGAAGGUGAUGAUGGAGAGACAACAAAGGACAUGUUUCUGGCAGGCUGUCUUCAUUGCCUUAUGUAUGUUUUUUUAUCAUCAGCUGAUCCUAAUCCCAAAUGCCCCAAGUGCAAGAGUACCGUGUUGGACAUUAUUGACUUCCUUAAUAACAACCAAAACAACAACACCACAAGCAGUAAGCAAUGGAAGGUUUGAGAUCUCCAUCCCCAAACAAUGUCUCAUUUUCUGUUCUGAUUGAGAUGCACACCAUUUAUGACCAAGAAGAUUGAUUACAUGUAUAUUUGCACUUUUUCUAAUUUUCUUUGUUAGUUAUUAAUUAAUUAAUUACAUCUUCCUCUGUGAUUGUUUCUCCAAACAAUUGUUCUCUUUUAAUAGAAUCAUUUUCAAUCAUUUGUAAUUA